This 1061-nucleotide long non-coding RNA is filed under the name Canis lupus familiaris (dog). RNAcentral describes it as "lncRNA (ENSCAFG00040008210.1)". Lineage: Eukaryota; Metazoa; Chordata; Mammalia; Carnivora; Canidae. The record is from RNAcentral.
AAGAACAGGUGUGGGUUUUGGGCAAACGUGCACAGUGGACAGUCUCAGGGCCUGAAGCUGCCUCUGUCCCGGAUCCUGAUUUGCCCAUUUUGAUGGUGCCUUCUCUCAUCCUUCCUCUUUCUGCUUCCAGGGCCCCAAGCAGCUGCCGCCCUGCAGGUGUAUGAGCAAACGUGGGAGCAGAUGCCUUGGGAGUGAGAUCUGCUGCGGGGACCCGGCUAGGGCAUCUCCCCUGCGUCCUACCUGCGGACGCCAGAGCCAGUGCCCAGUGGGCCCCUACACAGCUGAGUUGCAGGCUCUGCGGACUCCCAGGAAGAGCUAAGUGAGGGGCUGUGCAUCCAUGCAGGUAAGUGUGGAACAGGUGACAGCUGCAGCCUCUGGUGAGCUGACAUUUCUCCCCGACCUGGCCUCGUGUGGUCCAGAGGUGCAGGGACAUAGCAGACUGAGGGGAUGACAGACAUGCUCCUGGACCCCUUCUGCUUCUUCAUUCCUUAGCCCCCUUCAGACAGUGUGGAGUGCAGAGGACCCCGACCCUGGGAGGCAGAAAGGAGGGCUCAGCCCAGUGGACCUCCUGGUAAGUUGAGGAAUGGAGAAGGCUUUAUGCUCCAUUGCUGAUUCUGUCUCUAGCCACCACACCUGUGAUUUGGGCAAAUAGCUAUUGGAACUUGAGUGUGGCUGGAUUGUGCCCUGAGAUGACCCAGGUUGAAGCGUCAAGAAGGGGAAUCACACAGGUGCCAUCCUCCUGCACAGAGAGGGGAUAAGUGUCUCCGGCACGGGGAGGCGGAUGGUGCUCAGCCGCCAGGGCUGGGGUCACACGGCCUCCCCUUGUUGCUGGGUCUCAGCUCACAGGACUGAAUCACAGACAUGAUGAGGAUUUAACACACUUCACGUGCUUCCAUUUCUGUCAUGUUUUUAGGAAAUUGUUGCUGGUCAGUUAACUGAUGCUACUGAUUGUCACCAGAGGCCCCUGGAAGCCUAACUUCUCUCUCUUGGAAUAAGGCUCCCUGUUCAGCUUCCCGUGCAACCCAGAGUCACCAGAGACACCCAGGUGGUCCCUGGGCUGA